This 449-nucleotide ribosomal RNA is filed under the name uncultured bacterium. RNAcentral describes it as "partial 16S ribosomal RNA". It matches the Rfam family "Bacterial small subunit ribosomal RNA", at positions 29 to 523 of the family's 1533-position model. The record is from RNAcentral.
AGCGAACGCUGGCGGCAGGCCUAACACAUGCAAGUCGAACGAAGUCUUCGGACUUAGUGGCGGACGGGUGAGUAACACGUGGGAACGUACCUUUUGGUUCGGAACAACUCAGGGAAACUUGAGCUAAUACAGGAUAAGCCCUUCGGGGGAAAGAUUUAUCGCCAUUAGAGCGGCCCGCGUUAGAUUAGCUAGUUGGUGAGGUAAAGGCUCACCAAGGCUACGAUCUAUAGCUGGUCUGAGAGGAUGAUAAGCCACACUGGGACUGAGACACGGCCCACACUCCGACGGGAGGCAGCAGUGGGGAAUAUUGCGCAAUGGGCGAAAGCCUGACGCAGCCAUGCCGUGUGAAUGAUGAAGGUCUUAGGAUUGUAAAAUUCUUUUACCAGGGACGAUAAUGACGGUACCUGGAGAAAAAGCCCCGGCUAACUUUGUGCCAGCCGCCGCAGUAA